This 253-nucleotide ribosomal RNA is filed under the name uncultured bacterium. RNAcentral's name for it is "partial 16S ribosomal RNA". It matches the Rfam family "Bacterial small subunit ribosomal RNA", at positions 524 to 776 of the family's 1533-position model. The record is from RNAcentral. RNAcentral also lists the same sequence under 1 other name.
GACGAACUGUGCAAACGUUAUUCGGAAUCACUGGGCUUAAAGGGUGCGUAGGCGGUCUUGUAAGUAGGGUGUGAAAGCCCCCGGCUCAACCGGGGAACUGCGUCCUAAACUGCGAGGCUAGAGUGAGGUAGGGGUGUGUGGAACUUCCAGUGGAGCGGUGAAAUGUGUUGAUAUUGGAAGGAACGCCGGUGGCGAAAGCGACACACUGGACCUUGUCUGACGCUGAGGCACGAAAGCCAGGGGAGCAAACGGG